CGAGCGGGUGGCGGCAACCACCCCGCGCGAACCGUUUUUUCGGCUAGAUUGGCUCCUGCUUACCCCGCGAAACCCUCACUUCCCCCCCAUUGCUCGCCUCUCUCUUCCGUGCGCGGCGGCGGCGCAUCUAGCAAAUACUAGCAAAGAGGCAGGCCGGAGGAAAGUUGAAGGCCACCGUCAGUGCAUCUAGCAGCAGCAGCACAACUACAAUAUGAGAUGGACAGAAAGACAAAGAUGUUAAUUUAUGCGGCUGCGGCACAAUGGUUUAUCAACAUGAUAACAUUGGUUGUUCAAUCCAGAAAAAGAAAAAGGAGAGAAGCAAUUAUGUAUGCCCCAAUUGAUGAGAGAGAUAGGAUGAGAAGAGAGUAUUUUGACAACAAAAUAUGGAAGAAUGACACAACUUGUGUGAACAUGCUUAGGCUUCGGAGAGGGAGCUGUUCAACCUUAGGCAUUCUUCUCUUCGUGUGACUGUAGAACGUGCAUUUGGGUCAUUGAAGAGAAGAUUUAAGAUACUUGAUGAUGCCACCCCAUUCUUUCUCUUUCCAACACAAGUUGACAUUGUUGUGGCUUGUUGCAUUAUUCACAAUUGGGUUAUAAAUGAUGGGAUAGAUGAAUAUAUCAUACCCGAGGAUGAAUGGGUGCCAAAUAUUACUCAUGCUUCAUCAUCAAGUGGUCAAGCACAUGAACAUGCAUACAUGGUUAAUUUUAGGAAAGGACUUGCUGAUCAAAUGUGGGAAGAUCGACAAAACCAUUUGCAAGGUCAAAAUAUGUAGUGACUACUAUGUCAUUUAGCUCGUUGUGAUUGUACUUUGUGUUGAACUAUUUUGUAUGCUGAAACUUAUUUGUAAGGACAUAUUAUUUUCUAAGAUUGUAUUUGUAAUGACUAUUUAAGUUGCCGAAA
This is an RNA transcript of Aegilops tauschii subsp. strangulata, 901 nucleotides long. RefSeq lists it as uncharacterized. NCBI's taxonomy places the organism in Eukaryota, Viridiplantae, Streptophyta, Magnoliopsida, Poales, Poaceae. The record is from RefSeq and is a predicted model, not a curated record.